Non-coding RNA from Styela clava, 291 nucleotides. The record is from RefSeq and is a predicted model, not a curated record. Lineage: Eukaryota; Metazoa; Chordata; Ascidiacea; Stolidobranchia; Styelidae.
GCAGGAAAAAAUUCAAAGAUUACGCUGAGAUUUAUCAUCCAUCGAGUGAAAGUGUUCGAGAAAAUAACAAGCAUUCUCAUACAAAAGUUCAAAAUGACACAUCAGAUGAAAUCAUCGGGAAUCGAGAACAGGAUGAAUUUGAGUCAAAAUCUCACACAGUGGAUGAAACACAAGAUAUUGAAAAAGGAAAUGGAAUUAUUUCCUGCGAGGAAAACAUUGCAUUUGAGCUCAAGAAUGACCUUGAGUCGAUUCAUCAUAAGUUAAAGAAAAUGGAUCAACGACAAAGAGAGG